Long non-coding RNA from Sapajus apella (tufted capuchin), 395 nucleotides. RefSeq lists it as uncharacterized. The transcript is spliced from 3 exons. The record is from RefSeq and is a predicted model, not a curated record. Lineage: Eukaryota; Metazoa; Chordata; Mammalia; Primates; Cebidae.
UUCAUAAAGCUAUAUUUAUUCAAUUUAAAUGACAACCUUUAUUCUGAGAUUAUAUUCUUCCUAAUUUUAGGGGCUAAAAUAUAUUUUCUUUCACAUAAUGAUGCUAUAGCAGAUAGUUAUUUGUUUUGUUUGUUUUUAUUUUGUGUCCUCAGCUGGCAAAAUUAAAAGCCAGAAACUAAGGCCUCAAUUUUUUUUUAAAUACAAAUCUACUGGUGCUUCAAAAUCAGAGCUUAGGAACCAUAGCCUAGGUAAAGGCCAAUCUUCUUGUUGCAUAUUUCACAGUAUUGAAUUCUUUCUUGGUGAGUUCCCCAUACAAGUUAUGAAGCAGGAUAAAAGUCAGUCUUAUAUUAAGUCAGUGUACAUAUGGCCUUAAUUUCAAGUAAUGAAUUUUUGUU